Molecule: long non-coding RNA, 2586 nt
Filed under: Sus scrofa (pig)
Lineage: Eukaryota; Metazoa; Chordata; Mammalia; Artiodactyla; Suidae
Description: lncRNA (ENSSSCG00055013875.1)
Source: RNAcentral
AAGGAGAUGGAUUUGGCAGUAGGAUCUGGAAAGUUUGGCGCGGUGGCAAUCUGCGAGAUGUAGGAUCUGGCUAAGUACAGGGCCAGUUUCCCUCCAGUCCUAUAAGGCUCUCUCUCGGAGCUUGGAAGUUUUCAUGCUCCAGGCAGCUUUUGACUGGUUGUGGUGGCAUCAUAAAUGAGUUUCCAUAGUAAGUUGUAUGCGGAAAAAGGAAAUUAAAUUCCGAGAGGGUGUUUUGUUGUGACUGAUGCCAGAAUUUCUCUGAGAAUUUUAUUAAGAUUCAGUCAGUCUAUAAAAGUACUUUUUAGUUCUCUGAAGAUAUUAAUUAAAAAAUGGUUAAAAAAAAAAAAAAGCCAGAAGUGUCUCCUUUGUGAGCUUUUGAAAUGUAAUCUUCCUAAAUCUUUGGGGGAAAAAAAUGAAGUCUAAAAAAAAACCACAGAGCUGUAUGUUUUAAGAGCAGUUCCUUCAAAGUAAUGUUUUCCUUCUCUUCCUGUCCUUUCUCCUCCUCUCACAUUAUUGUGAUUGUUGAUUUUGUUUUUACGUUUAUGACCUUUUUUUUUUUUGCUUUUUAGGGCCGCACGCAUGGCAUGUGGAGGUUCCCAGCCUAGGGGUCUAAUCAGAGCUGCAGCUGCCCGUCUACACCACAGCCACGCCAGACCUACACUGCAGCUCAUGGCAAAGCUGGAUCCUUAACCCACUGAGCGAGGCCAGUGAUCAAACCUGCAACCUCCUGGUUCCUAAUUGGAUUCAUUUCUGCUGCGCCACAACGGGAACUCCAAUUUUUUUUUUUUUUUGAUGUUGAAUGUGCCUUCUUUUCUCCUGAGUUUACUCAUCUUCUUUCAUCAAGAAGGGGGAGCACGGUGAGGCAGUGAAGAGCACGGGGUCCGGAGCCAGGCUGGGGACAGCAAGGGUCAUGGUGGUUCUUGGAGAGCCGGGCUCUCCUCUGCUUGGAUUCACCAACCCCUACCCCAGAGGCUCUUGAGGGCAAUUAUUAUUCUGUCACACCGAUGAGGGAACGGGCACAGAAGUGCCUGUGUCCACACAGCCAGUGAGGGGGUGGCCUUGGUGGCAGCUGUGAUCCCUGUGACUCCACCGCAGGGCUAGGCAGAGGUCCUGCUCCCCUGCCAGGGUGGGCUCCGUCCUAUAGGCAGGGGCUUCGUUAAGUGAGAGGGUCAGGACUGUGGUUUUGAAAGGUGGCCUCAUGGGCAGUGUGCAGUAUGACAUGAGCAGCACGGAAAUGGGCAUGAGACAGGACGGGGGCUUGAACUGAAGCCGGCGGCAGUGGUGACAGAGCAAAGGGGACAGGUUGGCAUGGGUGCUGCUCAGUCCUCUGGAUUGGGGCCCAGAGAGGGAGGAGGUGAGUCUGGGAGCACUUUCCUCUCCUCAGCCUUCCCUACUGCUGGUUUUCAUGCCCGCAGGCUGGGUGGUUAUUGGAGAUACUCUGUGUAGACUGAAAGCAGUCUCUUUAGGAAUCAAGGUCACCUCCUUUGUGCCCUGUGACAGCCAGAGAAAGGUGCCUGUGCAAAACCCCAAAGCGUCUUCCCCGGUCUUUGCCCACCUGCUCUGGCCUUAUCGUUUGCCCCUUUCCUGGAGCAUCUCAGGAUGGAAUUCAGGUUCUCAGACCCCAGUUAGGGAAAUACCGGUUUGAACAUUCAAACUUAAACUGAAAGUAUUGAAAGGAAAAAGCCCCUAAAGAAGGAAGCCUCUCUGGGGUGUAGGGGGUGCCCCACCGUUCCCCAGUGGACCCCCCCAGGGGCUGUGGUCCUCAGUUCUGGCUGUUCCCCAAGGGCUGAGCUGCCUCUAGGCAGGGGCUGGGGUGACUUGUGGUCACCAGGCAUGACGGGCUGGUGGGGGAAGGGGAGGUGGUGAACGUGGGCGAGUUCUCAGUGGUGGCCUGCCUGGCCAGGAGGUGAGACCACCCUCCCCUGAAGGGUGCAGCUUCCGUGGAGAGCCAGGCUCUACUCAGGAGCACCAGAGUCAGAGCAAGGGGAUGUGGUUGGUCCCUGGUUGCUAGUAUGCACGCGUCCCCAUCAUAGGCUGCGCUCAUGCCAUGUCAGGAAUGUGCUGGUCCUGUGCCCUCUCCCCUGGUCAGUGCCAGAGUCCCUAAUAAACUUGCCCAGGCCUCGGUCUUCCAGACCGCAUAGUGCCCAGAUUCGUCAGAGAGUUUGUUCUUGCUGGGCUCCAGCCAGUUGGUCGGGUCCAGCUCUGCUUGGGCCGUGACCUCCUUGCGAGGAGGCCAAGAGUCACUUUAUCGGCCUGCCCGCUUCCCGCAUCCACAGGCACAGCCAACUCUGCAGUGAGUCGGUGUACAUGACUCUGUUCCCCCACUGUUUGAUGGUCACCCCUUUCCCUCCAAGAUGUGACUUCCUUUCCGUGUCCCAAGGGUGGCCCCCAGCCAGGGACCGUUCAAGUGCCCAUUGAGUUUGGCGCCUAACACGGUGCCCAAUUCAGUGAGAGGGGAGCGUGUUUUGCCUGGGGGUGUUCACUGUCAGCCUCCGUCCUGAACAUCAGGUCCUAAGCAGAGCCCCUCUUUUCCUGCUUUGCUCCAUGUUUAGCUGCAUGUGUGUGUUUAUUUUAAUUAUUACUGGG